UACGUAGGGUGCAAGCGUUGUCCGGAAUUAUUGGGCGUAAAGAGCUCGUAGGCGGUCUGUCGCGUCUGCUGUGAAAACUCGGGGCUUAACCCCGGGCCUGCAGUGGGUACGGGCAGACUAGAGUGCGGUAGGGGAGACUGGAAUUCCUGGUGUAGCGGUGGAAUGCGCAGAUAUCAGGAGGAACACCGAUGGCGAAGGCAGAUCUCUGGGCCGUAACUGACGCUGGAGGAGCGAAAAGCAUGGGGAGCGAACAGG
This 255-nucleotide ribosomal RNA is filed under the name uncultured bacterium. RNAcentral describes it as "partial 16S ribosomal RNA". It matches the Rfam family "Bacterial small subunit ribosomal RNA", at positions 524 to 776 of the family's 1533-position model. The record is from RNAcentral.